This 451-nucleotide ribosomal RNA is filed under the name uncultured soil bacterium. RNAcentral describes it as "bacterial SSU rRNA". It matches the Rfam family "Bacterial small subunit ribosomal RNA", at positions 26 to 518 of the family's 1533-position model. The record is from RNAcentral.
AGAGCGAACGCUGGCGGCAGGCUUAACACAUGCAAGUCGAGCGCCCCGCAAGGGGAGCGGCAGACGGGUGAGUAACACGUGGGAACGUGCCUUUUGGUUCGGAACAACCCAGGGAAACUUGGGCUAAUACCGGAUAAGCCCUUACGGGGAAAGAUUUAUCGCCAAAAGAUCGGCCCGCGUCUGAUUAGCUAGUUGGUGGGGUAAUGGCCCACCAAGGCUACGAUCAGUAGCUGGUCUGAGAGGAUGAUCAGCCACAUUGGGACUGAGACACGGCCCAAACUCCUACGGGAGGCAGCAGUGGGGAUAUGGACAAGUGGGGCAACCUGAUCCAGCCAUGCCGCGUGAGUGAUGAAGGCCGUUAGGGUUGUAAAGCUACUUUUAGCGUAGGAAGAUAAGUGGACGGUACCAGCAAGAAAACGCCCCGGUACUAACUUCGUCGCCAGCACGCCGC